This is a small nucleolar RNA of Suncus etruscus (white-toothed pygmy shrew), 214 nucleotides long. RefSeq annotates it as small nucleolar RNA U3. The transcript has a single exon. The record is from RefSeq and is a predicted model, not a curated record. NCBI's taxonomy places the organism in Eukaryota, Metazoa, Chordata, Mammalia, Eulipotyphla, Soricidae.
AAGACUAUACUUUCAGGGAUCACUUCUAUAGUAUGUGUCUAGAGAAGUUUCUCUAAUCGUGUAGAGCACUUGAAGCCACAAGGAGGAGUCAGAGCGUCCUCUCCUGAGUGCGAAGCUGCCUUUAGGUGUUGCUUCUGCAACUGCCUUUGGCCAUUGAUGAUCGUUCUCCCUUUCCUCUGGAGAGGGUAUAAGGAGAGAAUGCAGUUUGAGUGGU